RNAcentral lists this ribosomal RNA (465 nucleotides) under Vreelandella stevensii. RNAcentral describes it as "partial 16S ribosomal RNA". It matches the Rfam family "Bacterial small subunit ribosomal RNA", at positions 338 to 795 of the family's 1533-position model. Lineage: Bacteria; Pseudomonadati; Pseudomonadota; Gammaproteobacteria; Oceanospirillales; Halomonadaceae. The record is from RNAcentral.
CCUACGGGGGGCAGCAGUGGGGAAUAUUGGACAAUGGGGGCAACCCUGAUCCAGCCAUGCCGCGUGUGUGAAGAAGGCCCUCGGGUUGUAAAGCACUUUCAGUGAGGAAGAACGCCUGGUGGUUAAUACCCAUCAGGAAAGACAUCACUCACAGAAGAAGCACCGGCUAACUCCGUGCCAGCAGCCGCGGUAAUACGGAGGGUGCGAGCGUUAAUCGGAAUUACUGGGCGUAAAGCGCGCGUAGGUGGCUUGAUAAGCCGGUUGUGAAAGCCCCGGGCUCAACCUGGGAACGGCAUCCGGAACUGUCAAGCUAGAGUGCAGGAGUGGAAGGUAGAAUUCCCGGUGUAGCGGUGAAAUGCGUAGAGAUCGGGAGGAAUACCAGUGGCGAAGGCGGCCUUCUGGACUGACACUGACACUGAGGUGCGAAAGCGUGGGUAGCAAACAGGAUUAGAUACCCCUGUAGUC